CAGUCGCCACGGUAAUACGGAGGGUGCAAGCGUUAAUCGGAAUUACUGGGCGUAAAGCGCACGCAGGCGGUUUGUUAAGUCAGAUGUGAAAUCCCCGAGCUUAACUUGGGAACUGCAUUUGAAACUGGCAAGCUAGAGUCUUGUAGAGGGGGGUAGAAUUCCAGGUGUAGCGGUGUAAUGCGUAGAGAUCUGGAGGAAUACCGGUGGCGAAGGCGGCCCCCUGGACAAAGACUGACGCUCAGGUGCGAAAGCGUGGGGAGCAAACAGGAUUAGAUACCCCGGUAGUCCCUGUCUCUUAUAC
This 301-nucleotide ribosomal RNA is filed under the name uncultured bacterium. RNAcentral describes it as "partial 16S ribosomal RNA". It matches the Rfam family "Bacterial small subunit ribosomal RNA", at positions 509 to 807 of the family's 1533-position model. The record is from RNAcentral.